Molecule: ribosomal RNA, 497 nt
Filed under: uncultured bacterium
Lineage: Bacteria
Description: partial 16S ribosomal RNA
Rfam family: Bacterial small subunit ribosomal RNA
Source: RNAcentral
GAUGAACGCUGGCGGCGUGCCUAAUACAUGCAAGUCGAGCGAACAGACGAGGAGCUUGCUCCUCUGACGUUAGCGGCGGACGGGUGAGUAACACGUGGAUAACCUACCUAUAAGACUGGGAUAACUUCGGGAAACCGGAGCUAAUACCGGAUAAUAUAUUGAACCGCAUGGUUCAAUAGUGAAAGACGGUUUUGCUGUCACUUAUAGAUGGAUCCGCGCCGCAUUAGCUAGUUGGUAAGGUAACGGCUUACCAAGGCAACGAUGCGUAGCCGACCUGAGAGGGUGAUCGGCCACACUGGAACUGGGCCACGGUCCAGACUCCGACGGGAGGCAGCGGUAGGGAAGCUUCCGCAAUGGGCGAAAGCCUGACGGAGCAACGCCGCGUGAGUAAUGAAGGUCUUCGGAUCGUAAAACUCUGUUAUUAGGGAAGAACAAAUGUGUAAGUAACUAUGCACGUCUUGACGGUACCUAAUCAGAAGGCCACGGCUAACUACGUG